RNA transcript from Peromyscus leucopus (white-footed mouse), 1072 nucleotides. RefSeq lists it as uncharacterized. The record is from RefSeq and is a predicted model, not a curated record. NCBI's taxonomy places the organism in Eukaryota, Metazoa, Chordata, Mammalia, Rodentia, Cricetidae. The transcript has 7 exons.
CAUCACAUUCUAGAGGGAAGGUAUUAAGACUAGGAAGUGAACAACUAACAAGUCUUAGAAGUUCCUGACACUUACAAGGUCCCUUCUUCCCCAAGGACAUGUAAACAGGAAGAGAGCCCAUGCUCUGACCUUUGUUGAGGUGCUAGAGCUCCAGGAUUCCAGCUUUUGGGAGCCAUCAUCCAUGCUGGGGUUUUUGGUGAUACAGCUGCCUUUGAGUUUUCUCUGAUCCUCAUAUAUCAAAGACCAGCAUCUCUUCAGAAACCUUCCAGGACUCCAGCACCAGAUUGGGGCUGUGGAGACAUCCAAUCUUGUGGACUAGACAACUACCAGAUUCUUGCCUUUCCACUGGAAGAUUGCUGUUGUUGGAAUAUCUGGACCACAGCCUAUCCAGGGAAAUAAUCAUAGAAUGGAAUUGGGGACCUAUGGGCUCACAGUGAGAUGGACCAGACUGAACACUCUGUGGAUCUUCUUACCUGUGUUUCCAGAGAGGUCUAACCCAGCAGGAGUGAGAACCUUCCAGCAGGUGAGCCAGUACAGAAAAGCCUAAAGAAAAAGCAGUGUUGGCUGCCUGCCUUCCCUUGGUCUGGAGCCAGUGCUUGGCUCUGCUGCCACUGUCCUUUUCUGAUGUCAGACUCAAGCUUCUUCAGCCUUCUUCCAACACGACCUGAACACUAGUGACUCUCCAGGAAUCUUCCAGACCUUCGGCACCAGGUUGGGACUGCUGAGGUGAUCAACUUUGUGGACUAAACAGCAUCUCUAGUGUUGUUUCUCCAGUUCUGCGAGGUGUUGAGAAUCUGCUUGUCUGACACCCAGAAGUGAGGCACCAAUCCCACCCACACUUGAGAAGUGAGCAAGCCAUCUGGUGUUCCUGGUGCUGCAGCUGUGAGUGACCCCCAUUGCCACGAUGGACUGGGAGCCCACCCAAAUCGUUCCUUCCUCCAGUUGUUUCUACCCAGCAUUUUGUCACAGCAAACAGUUCCUUAAGGAAACAGCGGUCUCUGACUUGGAAUCUUUAUUCUGUUCUAACACAUUAUUGAGUGCUUUGACUUUUUAAGGGUAAGAAGCAUAUAUU